CCUACGGGCGGCAGCAGUGGGGAAUCUUGCACAAUGGAGGAAACUCUGAUGCAGCGACGCCGCGUGAGCGAUGAAGCCCUUCGGGGUGUAAAGCUCUUUCGGCAGGGACGAUAAUGACGGUACCUGCAGAAGAAGCUGCGGCUAACUACGUGCCAGCAGCCGCGGUAAUACGUAGGCAGCAAGCGUUGUUCGGAAUUACUGGGCGUAAAGAGUGUGUAGGCGGUGCUCUAAGUUCGGUGUGAAAUCUCCCGGCUCAACUGGGAGGGUGCGCCGGAAACUGGAAUGCUCGAGCGUGGGAGAGGAAAGCGGAAUUCCUGGUGUAGCGGUGAAAUGCGUAGAUAUCAGGAGGAACACCUGCGGUGUAGACGGCUUUCUGGACCAUUGCUGACGCUGAGACACGAAAGCGUGGGUAGCAAACAGGAUUAGAUACCCCUGUAGUC
RNAcentral lists this ribosomal RNA (440 nucleotides) under Salmonella enterica subsp. enterica. Its description in RNAcentral is "bacterial SSU rRNA". It matches the Rfam family "Bacterial small subunit ribosomal RNA", at positions 338 to 795 of the family's 1533-position model. Lineage: Bacteria; Pseudomonadati; Pseudomonadota; Gammaproteobacteria; Enterobacterales; Enterobacteriaceae. The record is from RNAcentral.